This 343-nucleotide ribosomal RNA is filed under the name uncultured bacterium. RNAcentral describes it as "bacterial SSU rRNA". It matches the Rfam family "Bacterial small subunit ribosomal RNA", at positions 568 to 913 of the family's 1533-position model. The record is from RNAcentral.
UGCGUAGGUGGGGAGGUAAGUCAGCGGUGAAAUCCCCGAGCUUAACUUGGGAACUGCCAUUGAUACUAUCUCUCUUGAAUACCUUGGAGGUGAGCGGAAUAUGUCAUGUAGCGGUGAAAUGCUUAGAUAUGACAUAGAACACCAAUUGCGAAGGCAGCUCACUACACGGUCAUUGACACUGAGGCACGAAAGCGUGGGGAUCAAACAGGAUUAGAUACCCUGGUAGUCCACGCCCUAAACGAUGGAUACUCGACAUCAGCGAUACACUGUUGGUGUCUGAGCGAAAGCAUUAAGUAUCCCACCUGGGAAGUACGACCGCAAGGUUGAAACUCAAAGGAAUUGG